This 253-nucleotide ribosomal RNA is filed under the name uncultured bacterium. RNAcentral's name for it is "partial 16S ribosomal RNA". It matches the Rfam family "Bacterial small subunit ribosomal RNA", at positions 524 to 776 of the family's 1533-position model. The record is from RNAcentral.
UACAGAGGUCUCAAGCGUUAUCCGGAUUCACUGGGUUUAAAGGGUGCGUAGGCGGGUUGGUAAGUCCGUGGUGAAAUCUCCGAGCUUAACUCGGAAACUGCCGUGGAUACUAUCAAUCUUGAAUAUCGUGGAGGUAAGCGGAAUAUGUCAUGUAGCGGUGAAAUGCUUAGAUAUGACAUAGAACACCAAUUGCGUAGGCAGCUUACUACACGAUCAUUGACGCUGAGGCACGAAAGCGUGGGGAGCAAACAGG